This 492-nucleotide ribosomal RNA is filed under the name uncultured bacterium. RNAcentral's name for it is "partial 16S ribosomal RNA". It matches the Rfam family "Bacterial small subunit ribosomal RNA", at positions 29 to 507 of the family's 1533-position model. The record is from RNAcentral.
AGUGAACGCUGGCGGUAGGCCUAACACAUGCAAGUCGAACGGCAGCACAGUAAGAGCUUGCUCUUACGGGUGGCGAGUGGCGGACGGGUGAGGAAUACAUCGGAAUCUACUUUUUCGUGGGGGAUAACGUAGGGAAACUUACGCUAAUACCGCAUACGACCUACGGGUGAAAGCAGGGGAUCUUCGGACUUUGCGCGAUUGAAUGAGCCGAUGUCGGAUUAGCUAGUUGGCGGGGUAAAGGCCCACCAAGGCGACGAUCCGAAGCUGGUCUGAGAGGAUGAUCAGCCACACUGGAACUGAGACACGGUCCAGACUCCUACGGGAGGCAGCAGUGGGGAAUAUUGGACAAUGGGCGCAAGCCUGAUCCAGCCAUACCGCGUGGGUGAAGAAGGCCUUCGGGUUGUAAAGCCCUUUUGUUGGGAAAGAAAAGCAGCAGGUUAAUACCCCGCUGUUCUGACGGUACCCAAAGAAUAAGCACCGGCUAACUUCGUG